This is a long non-coding RNA of Loxodonta africana (African savanna elephant), 9669 nucleotides long. RefSeq lists it as uncharacterized. The record is from RefSeq and is a predicted model, not a curated record. Lineage: Eukaryota; Metazoa; Chordata; Mammalia; Proboscidea; Elephantidae. The transcript has 3 exons.
CACCCUUGGUGGACAGGUUUCAGCAGAGUUUCCAGACUAAGACUAGGAAGAAAGGCCUGAUAAUCUACUUCCAAAAAUUAGCCAGUGAAAACCUUGUGUGGAUCAUAACAGAACAUUAUCUGACUUACUUGCUUUGGACACAUCAUUAGGAGGGAUCAAUUGCUAGAGGAAGACAUCAUAUUUGGUGAAGUAUAGGGCCAACGAGGGCAUGGGAGACCCUCAGUAAGAUGGAUUGCCACAAUAGUCACAAGGAUGGACUUGAACAUGCCAGCGAUUCGGAGGAUAAUAGCCAGGACCAGGCAGUGUUUCAUUCUGUUGUACGUUUGGAGUCGGCUCCACGACAGGCUACUUUGUGUUAUGUGCGACUUGGUCACAUGUGUGGGAUUCUUGCUGACUUCUACACAAAGGAGCCUUUCUCUAGCUGCCUGGCUGGGGCCUGAGUCUCUUCUCCUUCUCUUAUUCGUCUGUAAACUGGUUUCCUUCCUUCUCGCUUCCCGGGACAGGAAGCAGAUAAAAAGUCUGCUUCUCUCUUCCUGGGGCUUUCCUGUCUGGAAGCUCCUGUGACUACGUCUCUCUCAGGAGACUUCAGGCAUCUCACUGGGCUGCAUCCAGUUUUGAAGUUUUCCUCAAGUGUUGCCUGGCCCUUGGCUGCUGACUCAUGCGUACCGAAGAGUGCCUAAAGUGGAAAUCGGAGGCACGCAGAGAAUAGGACGUGCCCCCCUCCUGAUCUACCAGGAUGUCAGUUUCUUCAACAAAGCCUUCUCCAGUGGGAGGCCAGUGAUGGCAGCGAUCCCACUCAGGACACCACAUCACAUUUAGUCGUCAUGUCUCCUUAGCCUCCUCUUGGCUGCCAUGGUGUCUCAGACUUUUCUUGUUUAUGACGACCUUGACAGUUUUGAGGAGAACUGGUCAGGUACCUUGUAGAAUGUCCCUCAGUUGGGAUUGGUGUGAUAUUUUACUCGUAACUGGACUGGGGUAAUAUGUUUUUGGAAGAAAGACCACAGAGAGAAAGUGACAUUCUUGUCACAUCAUAUCAAAGGUACAUGCUAUCACUUUGAGGUAUCAUUGUUGAUGUUGACCUUGAUCACCUGGCUGAGGUAGUGUGGGUCAGGCUUCUCCACUGUAAACUUACUCUUUCUCCUUUUCCAUUCUGUGCUCUUUGUAAGAAAGUUAUUAUUUGCAGCCCACACUUAGAGUGGGGAGUUACACUCUACCUCCUUAAGGGGAAAGUAUUUACAUAAAUUAUUUGGAAUCAAUAGAUUUUUUUUCAUUCUUUAAAAAUUUUUUUAUUGUGGUAAAAAAUACUUUAAAAAACGUGCCAUCUUGACAAUUUCUACAUGUAUAAUUCAAUAACAGCAUCAAUUGAUUUGUAACACUUAAAAAUUUGACGAUCAUUUCUUAGGAUUAUCAAACAUCCUGUCAAUAUUCAAAUUUCCAGUGAUCUCAUAUACGUCAUAAAGGUUUAAUAAAGACAUUUUAACACUGUCUGUUUGAUUCAGAAUCCAGAUAAUGUCCACACUCUGUGAUUGACUGAUGUAUCUUUUAAGCCUCUUUUAAUCCAUACCAAAACCAAAAAACCAAACCCAUUGCCAUCAAGUUGAUUCCGACUAAUAAUGACCCUAUAUGGCAAAGUAGAACUGCCCCAUAGGGUUUCCAAGGAGCAGCUCGUGGAUUCGAACUCCUGACCUUUUGGUUAGCAGCCAAGCUCUUAACCACUGUGCCACCAGGGCUCCUUUAAUCUAUAGGCCCCUCCAUUUCUUUUUUUUGUUGUUGUUGCAAUUUAUGUGUUAAAGAAACUGGUGGUUUGUCCUGUAGCAUUUUCUGCAGUCUAAAUUUUGUUGGUUGCAUGCCCUUGGUGCUAUUUAGCAUGUUUCUCUGUCCCCUAUAUUUUCUAUAGUAUUGUAGUUGGAUCUAGAGCAGGGGUUGGCAAACUUCUUCUCUGAAGGGCCAGAUAGUUAAUAUUUUCGGCUUUACAGGCUGUAUGGUCUCUGUCACAAUUCCUCAGCUCUGCCAUUGUAAACAAACGAGCAGGGCCAUGCUCCAGUAAGACUUUAUUUGGGACCCUGGUUUGCAGACCCUGAUCUAGAAGCUCGAUCAGAUUCAGGUCUGAUUUUUUCGGCAAGCCUGCCUCAUUCGUACCGUGUUCUCUCACUAAGAAGCUCUUAAUGUUUGGUUGUUGCCAAUUGCUUAACUUGAAAAAUGAAAAAAUAGCUCAAAAAUGAAAGUGAAGUUCACCCAUGAUCCCACCACAUUUUUGGGGAAGUGUACAAAUUAAGAAGUGAAAUCUCUCUUCUCCCCCUCCAUACCACUCCCUCCCCCUAACAGAGCCUCAGUUAGCAGUUGGGUACAGUUUCUUCCAGACCUUUUAAUAUAUGUAUAAGAACAUUACAGCCCUGGUGGUGUAGUGGUUGGCAGUUUGAAUCCACCAGUUGCUCCUUGGAAACCCUAUGGGGCAGUUGUACUCUGUCCUAUAGGGUCACUAUGAGUUGGAAUUGACUCGACAACAACAGGAAAAAAAAAAAAAUUAUCUGCAUACAGAUAUACGCAUGUAAUCUGUGUGGAAGUUGCUUCCUGUCUGCCUCACAAGAUGUGUCUGGGGAGGAAAUUGGAGUAACUGACCCCCAUCUCCACCUCUGGGUGACUGCUGACUCACUUACCCUCUUUGCUGCCUGAGAGACCAUAGUGAAGAAGUGGGAGUGGACUAAUGUCCCCCAGACCACUAUGGAGAGGGGGCAUCCUCUCUUCUUUCUGAAUUCUGUCUUAAUCUUUUCUCAGAAUAAACACUACACCCCAGAGAAUUUUAACGGACUCCUUCUUGGAACGUUCAGGAAAUUUCCCACAAGGAUUAAGGGAGGGGGCAGAAACUAGACAGGCCCCUGGUUGGGCCAAUUUGCUCCCUUAUGCUGGGCAGAGGCAGGCUGGGUGGGGCUCAUGGUGGCCCAUGGGAACUCCUUGGUUCAUUCAUUUUCCCAAGUUGGCUCCCUUUUUGUCCUUUGUUGUCAGGCACCUUGUCCCACUCCUCCCCUGGAUACACCAUCCUACGGUAUAAGAAGUCCUAGCACCUCCAGAUGUCAUGAGUGGGAAUGGACUCAAGCAACCAACAACAAAGCACUUGCAGUCCCCUUUAGGGACUUGCAGAGUCAGCUGCCCAUGGCGUCCACUAGAUGGCGCUCUCUGCCACUCAGUUCUCCAAGCUUCGCUUUGGGUGAUGGUGGGGAGAGGGACAGAGCUCUGGUGUGUUUCUGUUGAUUCUGGGGGCCAGGGAGGGGUAAGCCCUGGUGCAGAGGACAAGAGAUGGGGCAGUCAAAAGCUGGAAACAUGCAGCUCACAGACUGGGGUGAACCCACUGAACCCACUGCCGUCGAGUCAAUUCUGACUCAUAGCGACCCUAUAGGACAGAGUAGAACUGCCCCAUAGAGUUUCCAAGGAGCACCUGGCGGAUUUGAACUGCCGACCUUUUGGUUAGGAGCCGUAGCACUCACCACUGGGGUGAGAAGGUGUGACUCUCAGACUCUGGCCAGUUCCACAUCCCGAAGAGACUUGCAAAGCUGGUCAUGGAGAACUGGCUUUUGAACUCCUAGGUGGCCACCCUCCCCUGCCCCCAGCCUAUCAAAGAGGUGGGGAGGCCACAGGUGAAACUGGAAUUUGGAGAAACUUCUUUAGUGAGAAUGGACGGUGGCCUGUAAGUGUCCCACCCCUUCCUCAAGUUUCAACAUGGAAAGGCAUUACCAGAGCCACUCAGGGAGCUUGAUUUGUGUCCCCUGUGAACAUGGCAGGAGCCCUGGUGGCACAGUGGUUAAGCGCUGGGCUGCUAACCUAAAGGUGGGCUGUUCAAACCCACCAGCUUUUCCAUAGGAGAAAGAUGUGGUCGUCUGCUUCUGUAAAGAUUUACAGCCUUGGAAACCCUGUGGGGGAGUUCUACUCUGUCUUAUAGGGUCAACUUUGAAUUAGAAUCGACUCUGGCAGAAGUGGGUUUUGCGGGGGACAUGGCCAGUGGGUGUUUGACAUGCACAAGAGACAAUGAAAUUGUGAUUGGUUGGUGAAUCUGCCUGAGGCAUCGGAACAGAAGGCUGUGGGUCGGAAUUAGGGAUUCUGCACCUCCUCGUGGCUGCUGUUGUGCUGUGGUUUCCUGAUCAGAUCUUUUCCCGGGGGCUGCUGCCCCUGCCCCCUGCUCUGGGGAAGUGGCCUCAGCUGGAAAGUUCUGGAGAUAGUCCACAGCCAGUAACUAACUGAUAAACUAAAACCAAACCAAAUCCGUUGCCGUCGAGUCGAUUCCAACUCAUAGUGACCCUACAGGACAGAGUAGAACUGUCCCAUAGAGUUUCCAAGGAGCACCUGGUGGAUUUGAACUGCUGACUUUCUGGUCAGCAGCCGUAGUACUUAACCACUACGCCACCAGGGUUUCCAACUAACUACUGAUAUAGGGACGUAAAAGGCUGCUCUCUUAAAUGAGAAUGCGGGGGUUUCUGCACGUGGAUCUCCUGUUGGCCAGCUGGUCAUGAGGCCCCCAUCACUGGUGGAGGGUGGACCUGACUGUCCCUGGCAUGUGGUAGUGGUGCAGUUGCUCAGACCUGGGACAGGAUACAGGUGGCCAGGAGAUGUGGCUUGGGCAAUAUCCUAGGUGUUUGAGAGAUAUUGGGAACAAUCAUAAUCACGAAGACUGUGGAAAGGGGGGAGGAGGGGCUGUGGUGGAUAUCAUGGAUACUUUGUAAAGAGAAAGGGUAGGUCCAGGGCAAUGGAUCACCAACGGAAGGCAAAGGGAGUCAGGAGGAUUCCUUGGCAGCACUGAAGGAGAUGCUGCUCUUCUAUAGCCAGAGGCAGAGAGCUGCAGAGACAAGCCCAGGACUUGCCUGGACUAGUAAGUGUCAGAACUCCAGAGCAGGCUGAGUUCUCAGCCCAGGGAAGCCUCCCCUCCUAUACGCAGGGGGCUCCUGAAGGGGAGGGAGUGGGACCCUGAGGCCUGUGAUGGAGCUGUCCGGGGAGAUGUCUUGAGAACCUUGAACCCCCAGAUUCUCCUCUGCCCUUUGGUUUGCAGAAGUGACCCACUCGCCAUGUUGGAAGAUAGAAGCCUCCCCUCUUGUUUAAAAACUAUGCAGCAACCUCAAAUAAAGGAAGCUUCUUUAUUACACAACACUUAUCUUCCCCAAACUGGGGCCAAAUCUCAGCAUGACCUGACCAGAGUAGUGCUUUGUCUGCUGUCAUGGGUUGAAUGGUGUCCCCCUAAAAUAUCUGUCAACUUGGCUAGGUCGUAAUUCCCAGUAUUGUAAGGGUUGUCCACCAUUUUGUCAUCUGAUGUGAUUUUCCUGUGCUGUGAAUUCUAUCACUAUGAUGUAAUGAGAUGGAUUAGCAGCAGUUAUAUUGAUGAGACCUAUAAGAUUAGAUUUUUAUAAGAUUAGAUAGGGUCUUAAGCCAAGCUCUUUUGAGAUGUAAAAGAGAGGAUCAAGCAGAAAGAUGGAGGGACCUCAUAUCACCAAGAAAGCAGCCCCAGGAGGAGACCUCGUCUUUUGGACCCAAGAUUUCUGCUCAGAGAAGCUCCUUGACCAGGGGAAAAUUGAUGACAAGGACCUUUCCCCAGAGAUGAAAGAGAGAAAACCUUCCCCUAGAGCCGAUGCCCUGAAUGUGGACUUUUAGCCUACUAGGAUCUGAGAGAAUAAAUUUCUCUUUUUUAAAGCCAUCCACUUGUGGCAUUUCUGUUAUAGCAGCACUAGAUGACUAAGACACCUGAUAAGGGAGAAGAGGGACUAAUCAGCAAAGAAGCAGUAGAACCUGGCCAACAGGGGCGGGUAGGGAGUGGAAGACUAUUCCUAGGAGUGGAUUCUGAAGGUUCUGGAUCAAGGGAGUCUGAAUAUAAACUGGAUAAGGGAGAGUUUAUCAAUACGGAGAUACUAUCUUAUGACAUAGACUUUAAUCCGGAUAAAACCAAACCCCUUGCCAUCAGAUCAAUUCUGAUUCACGGUGAUCCAAUAGACAAGGUAGAACUGCCCCGUAGGGUUUCCAAGGCUGAAAUCUUUACAGAAGCAGACUGCCAUAUCGUUCUUCUGCUGAGCAGCUGGUGGGUUUGAACUCCCAGCCUUUUGGUUAGCAGCUGACCACUUAACCAGGACUUGCCAUAGGCUUUAAUCCCCUAGAAAGCAAGGCUUCGAAUCAGUUCGGAACAGUUCAGUAAUUGCUGACAUAAGUGAGGGCAGCAUACAUGUUGCAUAGUGACCAAAUCUGCUGCCCAUUAAAUUUUGACCUGAGUUGGAAACAAACCAAGAAUAGGUUUGACACGUUGAACCCUAAUGACCGACGACCAGAUGAUUUUUGGAAUGAUAUCAAGGACAUCAUACAUGAAGAAAGCAAAGGGUCAUUAAAAAGACAGGAAAGAAAGAAAAGACCAAAAUGGAUGUCAGAAGAGACUCUGAAAGUUACUUUUGAAUGUAGGUAGCUAAAGUGAAAGGAAAAAACGAUUAAGUAAAAGAGCUGAACAAAAGAUUUCAAAGGGCAGCGAGAGAAGGCAAAGCAUUGUAGUGAAAUGCACAAAGACCUGGAGGUAGGAAACCAAAGAUCGGGAGGUAGGUAGCAUUUGUGAAGCUGAAAGAACUGAAGAAAAAACUCAAGCCUCAAGUUGCAAUAUUGAAGGAUUCUAUGGGGAAAAUAUCAAACAACACAGAAAGCAUCAAAAGAAGAUGGAAAGAAUACGGUCACUGUACCAAAAAAGAAUUGGUCGACAUUCAGCCAUUUUAGGAGGUAGCAUAUGAUCAGGAACCGAUGGUACUGAAGGAAAGGUCCAAGCUGCUCUGAAGGCAUUGGCGAAAACAAGGCUCCAGGAACUGACGGAAUACCAAUUGAGAUAUUUCAACGAACAGAUGCACUGCUGGAAGCGCUCACUCGUCCGUGCCAGGAAAUUUGCAAGACAGCUACCAGGCCAACUGACUGGACGAGUUCCAUAUUUGUGCCCAUGCCAAAGAAAGGUGAUCCAACAGAACGUGGAAAUCAAUGAACAAUAUCAAUAGUAUUACACAUAAGUAUAAUUUUGCUGAAGAUCAUUCAAAAGCUACUGCAGCAGUACGUCCACAGAGAACGGCCAGAAAUUCAAGCCGGAUUCUGAAGAGGAUGUGGAGCCAGGGAUAUCAUUGCUGAUGUCAGAUGGAUCCGGGCUGAAAGCAGAGAAUACCAGAAAGAUAUGUACCUGUGUUUUAUUGACUUUGCAAAGGCAUUCAACUGUGUGGAUCAUAACAAAUUAUGGAUAACAUUUCGAAGAAUGGGAAUUCCAGAACACUUAAUUAUGCUCAUGAGGAACCUGUACUUAGACCAAGAGGCAGUUAUUCAAACAGAACAAGGGGAUACUGCAUGGUUUAAAGUAGGAAAGGUGUGCAUUAAAGUUGCAUCCUUUCACACUACUUAUUCAAUCUGUAUGCUGAGCAAAUAACCCAAGAAACUGAACUAUAGGAAGAAGUACGGGGCAUCAGGAUUGGAGGAAGACUGAUUAACAACCUGCGUUACACAGAUGACACCACUUUGCUUGCUGAAAGCGAAGAGGACUUGAAGCACUUACUAAUGAAGAUCAAAGACCCCAACCUUCAGUACGGAUUACACCUCAACACAAAGAAAACAAAAAUCCUCAUAACUGGCCAAUAAGCAACAUCUUGAUAAAUGAAGAAAAGAUUUCAUUUUACUUGGAUCCACAAUCAAUGUCCAUAGAAACAGCAGUCAAGAAAUCAGCCAUAAAAAGGAAGGAAGUACUGACAGAUGCUACCGUGUGACUGAACCUCGAAAACACUGCGCUAAGUGAAAGAAGCCAGACACAAAAGGUCACACAUUGUACGAUUCCAUUUAUAUGAAAUGUGUGGAACAGGUAAAUCCACAGAGACAGAAAGCAGAGUGGUGGUUGUCAGGGGCUGGGGGUCGGGGGAGGAUGGGAGUUACUGCUGAACGGGUAUUGGGAUUUCUUGUUGGGAUGAUGAACAUGUUUUGGAACUUGAUAUAGAAGGUGGUUGUACAACAUUGUGAAUGAGCUAAAUGUCACUGAAAUGUUCACUUUAAAAUGUUAAUUUUAUGUUAUGAGAAUUUUACCUCAGUAAAGAAAAAAAAUCUCUUCUCCCUCAUCUGUCUUUCUUUCUGUCUCUAUCUCUGUCUCUGUCUCUGGAGCGCGUGUGUGCACACACUGGCCACUGCCAUCUUCCUGCUUGCACCAGGGUGAAGGGCAGCUUUAAAUGAACUGGAGGGCUGAAUUAUCACCUGGUCUUGGGUGUAGUAAUUACUGAACCAAGACUGGUCUUGACUUGAGAAGUGGCAUGUGACUUAUAUAAUAUGUCUAAGACCUGUGGGCCGGCCUGUGAUUUUGAUCUAAGUGGCUGGGAAAAAGGAGCCUCGGAGCAAGAACAGAAUUAUGCUGCCUUGAGGUAGUAUCUCCCGUCCCGUUCUAAGUAGCAGCUGCUGAUAUGUUGAUGGGCUCCCCAAAACCCUCUGUGGAGCUUCAGGGGAGCCUUUCCUCCCAUUAACAGAACACUUUCUUUCUUCUGACUUCUAUCCUGGCUAAACUAUUCAUCUUUUCAGAUCCUGGUUUUGUUACAAAGCUUUCUCUCAUUAACUGAUAAGCAUGAGUAGGACCAGAUCCACCUCUCCAGAAUCAGGGGUUUCUCUGGAUCCCUCCCUGUUCUCCCAGAGAAGGCAGGAGGCAAGACUGAGUGUGUUGGGAGGUGUCAUGGAUUGAAUUAUGUCCCUCUCCCCCGCAAAAUGUAUGUAUUAACUUGGCUAGGCCAUGAUUCCCAGUAUUCUGUGGUUGUCCUCCAUUUUGUGAUUGUAAUUUUAUGUUAAAGAGGAUUAGGGUGGGAUUGCAGCACCGUUAAAAGGUCACAUCUGUGAUCCAAUACAAAGGGAGUUUCUCUGGGGUGUGGCUUGUACCACCUUUUAUCUCAAGAGAUAAAAAGGAAAGGGAAGCUAGCAGAGAGUUGGGGACCUCAUACCACCAAUAAAGCAGUGCUGGGAGCUAAGCUUGUCCUUUGGACCUGAGGUUCCUGCGCUGAGAUGCUCCCAGACCAAGGGAAGACUGAUGACAACGACCUUCCUCCAGAGCAGACAGAGACAGAAAGGCUGCCCCUGGAGCUAGGGCCCUGAAUCUGGACUUCUAGCCUACUGGACUGUGAGAGAAUAAACUUCUCUUUGUUAAAGCCAUCCACUUGUGGUGUUUCUGUUAUAGCAGCACUAGAUGACUAAGAAAGGAGGUGGGAAGCAAGAAGGAAAUUUCAGCUCAUCCCUACUCUUAAAAAUAGGGUUACGCUAAUGUAAAAUGGUACAACCACUUUGGAAAUCGAUUUGGAGCUUCCUUAAAAAGCUAGAACUAGAACUACCGCACAAUCCAGCAAUCCCACUCCUUGGAAUAUAUGCUAGAGAAGUAAGAGCCUUCACACGAACAGAUAUAUGUACACCCAUGUUUAUUACAGCACUGUUUACAAUAGCAAAAAGAUGGAAGCAACCAAGGUGCCCAUCGAUGGAUGAAUGGCUAAAUAAAUUAUGGUAUAUUCACACAAUGAAAUACUAAGCAUCGAUAAAGAACGGUGAGGAAUCUGUGAAACAUUUCAUAACAUGGAGGAACCUGAAAGGCAUUAUGCUGAGUGAAAUUAGUCAGUUGCAAAAGGACAAAUAUUGCAUAACACCACUAUUAUAAGAACUUGAGAAAUAGUUUAA